ACCGCUCACCAACUCGUGGAUAACCUGCCCUUGGGACGGGAUCCCCCGGGAAACUGGGGAUAAACCCGGACGGUGAUGCUGCCUGGAAUGGUUCUUCACCGAAACACCUUCGGGUGCCCAAGGAUGGGUCUGCGGGCGAUUAAGUUGUUGGUAGGGCAACGGCCUACCAAGCCGAUCGUCGGGACGGGUUGUGAUAGCAAGAUUCCGGACAUGGGACCUGACACAAGGUUCCAGGUCCUACCGGGCGCAUGAGGGGCGAAACCUCCUCUCUGCACGCCAGUGCGAGGGGGGAACCCCAAGUGCCCCUCUUAACGGGGUGGGUUUUUUCAACUGAGACUUAUUUCUGGAAUAAGGGCUGGGCAAGACCGGCGCCAGCCGCCGCGGUAACACCGCUGGCUCAGGUGGUAGCCGCUUUUAUUGCGGCUUUGGCGUCCCCAUACUGUCUAAUAUUUCUCUGGUGAAAACCCACAGCUUAACUGUGAGAAUUGCUGGAGAUACUAUCAUGACUCUUGGUCGGGAGAGGCUGGAGGUACUCCUGCUGUACGGGUGAAAUCCUGUAAUCCUGGGAGGAGCACCUGUGGCGAACGCUUGCUCUUGGAACGAACCUGACGGAGAGGGACGAAAGGCAGGGACGCUAACCGGAUUAGAUACGCGGGUAGACCUGUCCGUGAACGAUGUGAACUUGGUGUUGGAAUGGCUUCGAGCUGCCCCAUCGCCUAUCGGAAGCUGUUCAGUCCACCGCCUGUUAUCCCGGUCGCAAGGCUGAUCAUCCACGGAAUUGGUGAGGGAG
RNAcentral lists this ribosomal RNA (790 nucleotides) under uncultured Methanothermobacter sp. Its description in RNAcentral is "bacterial SSU rRNA". It matches the Rfam family "Archaeal small subunit ribosomal RNA", at positions 85 to 876 of the family's 1478-position model. The record is from RNAcentral. Lineage: Archaea; Methanobacteriati; Methanobacteriota; Methanobacteria; Methanobacteriales; Methanobacteriaceae.